AAAAGAGAAAAAUGCACUUGCCGAGACUUAAGACUCUAACACCUAUAAAAUGCUCGCAAAGAAUUGAGUAGAAAAAAAAGAGAGUCAAAAGAGUGAAAUUAACCCCCAGAGUAUAAGUGAUGCACGAAAAAAAAAAAGAGAAAGAAAAAUCACACAACAUGAAUGCCGAGUUCAAAACCUUUUGUUAUCCAUUUUUGUGUUUAUCCCACCGUACCCAAGCCCCGUUACAACCUAAAAGACCUCGUAAAGUGUGUGGAAUCUGCUGUUGUCGUG
This 273-nucleotide long non-coding RNA is filed under the name Lathyrus oleraceus (garden pea). RNAcentral's name for it is "Pisum sativum (pea) long non-coding RNA (PSAT_LNC036321)". The record is from RNAcentral. Lineage: Eukaryota; Viridiplantae; Streptophyta; Magnoliopsida; Fabales; Fabaceae.